Molecule: unclassified non-coding RNA, 329 nt
Filed under: soil metagenome
Description: partial contains 5.8S ribosomal RNA, internal transcribed spacer 2, and large subunit ribosomal RNA
Rfam family: 5.8S ribosomal RNA (bases 1-120)
Source: RNAcentral
GAUGAAGAACGUAGCGAAAUGCGAUAAGUAAUGUGAAUUGCAGAAUUCAGUGAAUCAUCGAAUCUUUGAACGCACAUUGCGCCCCUUGGUAUUCCGAGGGGCAUGCCUGUUCGAGCGUCAUUAUAACCCCUCAAGCUCAGCUUGGUGUUGGGGCCUGCUGCACUGGCAGCCCUUAAAAUCAGUGGCGGCGCCAUCUGGCUCUAAGCGUAGUAAUUCUUCUCGCUAUGGAGUCCUGGUGGAUGCUUGCCAUCAACCCCCAAUUUUACUAUGGUUGACCUCGGAUCAGGUAGGGAUACCCGCUGAACUUAAGCAUAUCAAUAAGCGGAGGA